Molecule: ribosomal RNA, 446 nt
Filed under: uncultured bacterium
Lineage: Bacteria
Description: partial 16S ribosomal RNA
Rfam family: Bacterial small subunit ribosomal RNA
Source: RNAcentral
CCUACGGGGGGCAGCAGUCGAGAAUCAUUCACAAUGGGGGAAACCCUGAUGGUGCGACGCCGCGUGGGGGAAUGAAGGUCUUCGGAUUGUAAACCCCUGUCAUGUGGGAGCAAAUUAAAAAGAUAGUACCACAAGAGGAAGAGACGGCUAACUCUGUGCCAGCAGCCGCGGUCAUACAGAGGUCUCAAGCGUUGUUCGGAAUCACUGGGCGUAAAGCGUGCGUAGGCUGUUUCGUAAGUCGGGUGUGAAAGGCGCGGGCUCAACCCGCGGACGGCACAUGAUACUGGGAGACUAGAGUACUGGAGGGGGAACCGGAAUUCUCGGUGUAGCAGUGAAAUGCGUAGAUAUCGAGAGGAACACUGGUGGCGAAGGCGGGUUCCUGGACAGUAACUGACGCUGAGGCACGAAGGUCAGGGGAGCGAAAGGGAUUAGAUACCCGAGUAGUC